RNAcentral lists this ribosomal RNA (773 nucleotides) under Mecistostethus flechtmanni. RNAcentral describes it as "bacterial SSU rRNA". It matches the Rfam family "Eukaryotic small subunit ribosomal RNA", at positions 428 to 1106 of the family's 1831-position model. Lineage: Eukaryota; Metazoa; Arthropoda; Insecta; Coleoptera; Histeridae. The record is from RNAcentral.
GCAGCGCAAAUUACCCACUCCCGGCACGGGGAGGUAGUGACGAAAAAUAACGAUACGGGACUCAUCCGAGGCCCCGUAAUCGGAAUGAGUACACUUUAAAUCCUUUAACGAGGAUCAAUUGGAGGGCAAGUCUGGUGCCAGCAGCCGCGGUAAUUCCAGCUCCAAUAGCGUAUAUUAAAGUUGUUGCGGUUAAAAAGCUCGUAGUCGAAUCUGUGUCGUGCGCCGCCGGUUCAUCGCUCGCGGUGUCAACUGGCGUGUCGCAGGACGUCCUGCCGGUGGACUCAGCUGUCCUGUCGUCGUCGUCGUCGUCGUCCUCCUCCGGGAGCGUCGUCGUCGUCGUCGGCUCGGGCGGCGGUCCAACUUUAAAAUCCCACCGCGGUGCUCUUCGCUGAGUGUCGAGGUGGGCCGGCACGUUUACUUUGAACAAAUUAGAGUGCUUAAAGCAGGCUAAAAUUUUGCCUGAAUACUGUGUGCAUGGAAUAAUGGAAUAGGACCUCGGUUCUAUUUUGUUAGUUUUCGGAACCCCGAGGUAAUGAUUAAUAGGAACGGAUGGGGGCAUUCGUAUUGCGACGUUAGAGGUGAAAUUCUUGGAUCGUCGCAAGACGGACUUAAGCGAAAGCAUUUGCCAAAAACGCUUUCAUUGAUCAAGAACGAAAGUUAGAGGUUCGAAGGCGAUCAGAUACCGCCCUAGUUCUAACCAUAAACGAUGCCAGCUAGCGAUCCGUCGACGUUCCUCCGAUGACUCGACGGGCAGCUUCCGGAAACCAAAGCUG